AUACGGAGGGGGCUAGCGUUGUUCGGAUUUACUGGGCGUAAAGCGCUCGUAGGCGGCUUGUAAAGUCGGAUGUGAAAUCCCCGGGCUCAACCUGGGAACUGCAUUCGAUACUGGCAGGCUAGAGUAUAGUAGAGGCAAGUGGAAUUUCGGGUGUAGCGGUGAAAUGCGUAGAUAUCUGGAGGAACAUCAGUGGCGAAGGCGACUUACUGGACCAAUACUGACGCUGAGGUGCGAAAGCGUGGGGAGCAAACAGGAUUAGAAACCCCAGUAGUCC
This 274-nucleotide ribosomal RNA is filed under the name uncultured bacterium. RNAcentral's name for it is "partial 16S ribosomal RNA". It matches the Rfam family "Bacterial small subunit ribosomal RNA", at positions 523 to 796 of the family's 1533-position model. The record is from RNAcentral.